RNAcentral lists this long non-coding RNA (1999 nucleotides) under Gallus gallus (chicken). RNAcentral's name for it is "lncRNA (ENSGALG00010021395.1)". Lineage: Eukaryota; Metazoa; Chordata; Aves; Galliformes; Phasianidae. The record is from RNAcentral.
GGGGGUUCCGGGAGCGGAGCGUCGCGGUGCGUCGCGGUGCGUCGCGGAGCGGAGGGGCCGAGCGAGCGGCGCUCCCAAAGUUCUGGGGAACUCUGUCCCGUCCCGAGCUGCAGCGGCAGCCCGCUGCCGGCCGCUUUAAAUCUCUGGGAGAAAAUGAUUUGUGGCGGAAGAAGCGGGGAUGCUCGCGGCAUCUCUCCGCUGCCGGCGCCGAGCGAAAGUUUGCACGGGGAAACGCCGCGGAGAGCGGCGGGGGAAUGAAGGGAGAGGGAACCGCGUGGUGCGCGGGGAGCAGCGGGGAGGGACGGGGAGUCCCGGCCGGGGGGACCCGGGGGUGCCUCUCAUAUGCUACGGGAGCCGCGCACCGGGGCCGUCCUCAGAAACAGGGGCGCCUGCAGUCCGCCCGGUUACACGUGAAGGUUCCGUCGGAACGGGGAGCGCUGCGGGGCUGAGCGAUGCGGGGGGAGAUGAGCUCGCUUGAGUUUUUUUCCCCCUUUAUUAUUGUCGUUUUUUAAAGGACGCCGGGAUCCGCGUAAAGGUGAAGCCGGGCGGUGCCGAUAGUACAUACACAGCAGCCCCUGACAGCGCCUUGUCACUUGCGCGGCUCAGCGUCGCUUCGAGCGCUGUCGAGGAAACGCAGUCACCCAAUGAGGAGCGAAGGGAAACUGAGGCACGGGCUGUCCCGGGGGCACGCAGCCCCCCCGGCCCCACCUCGCUCUGCAGGUGCCGUCCUCCCGCCCCGCACCCCGCUCACGUCCCAGCACGGCGGUUCGUAGUGUAACCCCGCCGCUGCCUGAAUGGUGAGCGCUCGAGAUUCUACCUCCUCCCGCCCCCAGUUGGUUCACAGUGAUAAAGUUUGGAUCCAAAGGCGCGCUCAGGUGUGGGGGCUCUGCUCCUGCCCUCGCUUUGCUGCUUGGUCACAAAGUUCAGCCGUGGGGCUGUGCUCAGCUGCGAGCUUCGGCCCCUCAGAAAUAAAUCCUUCUCCAAAUUCUGGUGCCUGUGACGAGGAAAUGAGCGCUGCGAGCUGACAGCUCUCUGCAUUCACAGCUCUGUCUUCGAGGGGGAAAAAAAAGAAAAGCAGAUGUGGGAAACUUAGGAAAACUUUUGAAACGUGCCCUUGGCCGUGGGUGAUCCCCCUGUCCCUUUGGAGGAUGGCAACAGGAUUGGAAGUGACAAGGGCUCACUGCUGGAAGUGUCUUUGCUUUGAUCACUCUCCUCGCUGUGUCUGCUCACUCCGAGCGAGGGAAAGGGCUGCACUGCCGGUUUUCUUUUCUUUUUCUUUGUUUUUAAAGGGGGAUGGGAGGGGGAUAUAUUUUUAAAGGUGGGAUAUAUCCGAGUACUUCAUGUGUAAAGAACGGUCCCUGUCACAAGGGCCUGAUUCUGCUCUUAUUGACGCCGCCGCGAAUUCAUCCAGGGAGCAUCAGCAGCGCGUGUGCGGGGCAGAGGAGCGCUGGGUGCGGGUGUGCGUUGCUGCGGGGUCUGAGCCUUCCUCGGCCCCUCCUCGCAGACAAACCCUUGGAGGAGGAUGCACCAGAGGUGCCACAGCAGAGUGCACUUUAAUUCAAGAAGGAUGAAUUGGAGGUGUGAUAUGAUGCUAGCACUUGCACUUCAACUCUUUGGCCUCUUUGGCCAUAUGGGUUAACAAGAAAGAAGCAAUUUUCAGAAAGCAAAUGCAUGCAAAAGAUUGCAUCUUGCCUGGAAUUCCUGAGGUUAUCUGUGCCCAUAGUUUGGAGGCAUGGUCGCCAUCCCAUUUGCAGCAGUGUCUGUUUGCACAAAGACAGACAUAGCCAUCCCUGCAAGUCUCUCCCUUCAAAGUGCUGAAUUUCAGAUUGCAGCCAAAGACCCAAGGCUCAGCUCUCAACCUGUGAUCAAGGAAGAGUCUUCUGGAGGCAUCCACAGGCCAGAGGCAUCCACAGGUCUUCUGGAGGCCAGAAAGGAUAAAUAUCUUACAGGGAACUUGCCUUUUUCUUGGUACACAGUUGAUGUUUUAUCUGAAAUCUGG